This is a long non-coding RNA of Pipistrellus kuhlii (Kuhl's pipistrelle), 302 nucleotides long. RefSeq lists it as uncharacterized. The transcript is spliced from 2 exons. The record is from RefSeq and is a predicted model, not a curated record. NCBI's taxonomy places the organism in Eukaryota, Metazoa, Chordata, Mammalia, Chiroptera, Vespertilionidae.
UCGCAGGCAGCCAGGCCUGGGAAAUCUGUCCCCGAAGUCAAACGCAUACCUAACCAGAAACCAGGGAGCACACAGUGGUUUGUAGCUGCUGAAAUGAGGUCACACCAGUUGGUGUACCUGGCGGCAAUAGGACCCAGACUGGAAGACUACCUGAAGAAUCAUUCCAAAACCCAAGGGUAGAGAUACCCCCAGUGAAAUCAGAUCAGAGGAACUGUGGACAGGGGAAGAGCUUCCAUCUGCGACCAGUCCUUUCUCCACAACAGAGAGUUCCUCAAGAAGUGAGACUCCAUAAAUGUGAAAUA